CCUACGUGAGGCAGCAGUGGGGAAUAUUGCGCAAUGGGCGAAAGCCUGACGCAGCGACGCCGCGUGAGGGAUGAAGGUCUUCGGAUCGUAAACCUCUGUCAGCAGGGAAGAACGGUCACUGUGCUAAUCAGCAGUGAAUUGACGGUACCUGUAAAGGAAGCACCGGCUAACUCCGUGCCAGCAGCCGCGGUAAUACGGAGGGUGCGAGCGUUAAUCGGAAUUACUGGGCGUAAAGCGCUCGUAGGCGGUAUGUCAAGUCAAGGGUGAAAUCCCCGCGCUCAACGUGGGAACUGCCUUUGAAACUGGCAAACUGGAGUGUGUGAGAGGAGAGUGGAAUUCCAGGUGUAGGAGUGAAAUCCGUAGAUAUCUGGAGGAACAUCAGUGGCGAAGGCGACUAUCUGGCACAUAACUGACGCUGAGGAGCGAAAGCGUGGGUAGCAAACAGGAUUAGAUACCCCUGUAGUC
This 465-nucleotide ribosomal RNA is filed under the name uncultured bacterium. Its description in RNAcentral is "partial 16S ribosomal RNA". It matches the Rfam family "Bacterial small subunit ribosomal RNA", at positions 338 to 795 of the family's 1533-position model. The record is from RNAcentral.